This 441-nucleotide ribosomal RNA is filed under the name uncultured bacterium. Its description in RNAcentral is "bacterial SSU rRNA". It matches the Rfam family "Bacterial small subunit ribosomal RNA", at positions 339 to 796 of the family's 1533-position model. The record is from RNAcentral.
GUACGGAAGGCAGCAGCAAGGAAUUUUCCGCAAUGGGCGAAAGCCUGACGGAGCAACGCCGCGUGGGUGAGGACGUCCUUCGGGAUGUAAAGCCCUUUUCUGGGGGAAGAGCAAGGACGGUACCCCAGGAAUAAGCCCCGGCUAACUACGUGCCAGCAGCCGCGGUAAUACGUAGGGGGCAAGCGUUGUCCGGAAUUACUGGGCGUAAAGCGCGCGCAGGCGGGUGGCCGCGUCCGGCGUGAAAGCUCUCGGCUUAACCGGGAAGGGUCGUCGGAUACGGGUCACCUGGAGGACGGGAGAGGAACGUGGAAUUCCCGGUGUAGUGGUGAAAUGCGUAGAGAUCGGGAGGAACACCAGUGGCGAAGGCGACGUUCUGGCCCGCCCCUGACGCUGAGGCGCGAAAGCGUGGGGAGCGAACGGGAUUAGAUACCCCGGUAGUCC